GGCGAACGGGUGAGUAAUACAUCGGAACGUACCCAGUUGCGGGGGAUAGCCCGGCGAAAGCCGGAUUAAUACCGCAUACGCCCUACGGGCGAAAGGGGGGGAUCGCAAGACCUCUCACUAUUGGAGCGGCCGAUGGCUGAUUAGCUAGUUGGUGGGGUAACGGCCUACCAAGGCGACGAUCAGUAGCUGGUCUGAGAGGACGACCAGCCACACUGGGACUGAGACACGGCCCAGACUCCUACGGGAGGCAGCUGUGGGGAAUUUAGGACAAUGGGCGAAAGCCUGAUCCAGCAAUGCCGCGUGUGCGAAGAAGGCCUUCGGGUUGUAAAGCACUUUUGUCAGGGAAGAAAUCGUUUGGGUUAAUACCCCGAGCACUUGACGGUACCUGAAGAAUAAGCACCGGCUAACUACGUGCCAGCAGCCGCGGUAAUACGUAGGGUGCAAGCGUUAAUCGGAUUUACUGGGCGUAAAGCGUGCGCAGGUGGUUUGUUAAGACAGUUGUGAAAUCCCCGGGCUUAACCUGGGAACUGCAAUUGUGACUGGCAGACUAGAGUGAGCCAGAGGGGGGCGGAAUUCCAGGUGUAGCAGUGAAAUGCGUAGAUAUCAGGAGGAACACCG
Molecule: ribosomal RNA, 618 nt
Filed under: uncultured bacterium
Lineage: Bacteria
Description: bacterial SSU rRNA
Rfam family: Bacterial small subunit ribosomal RNA
Source: RNAcentral